This is a small nucleolar RNA of Fukomys damarensis (Damara mole-rat), 89 nucleotides long. The record is from Ensembl. Lineage: Eukaryota; Metazoa; Chordata; Mammalia; Rodentia; Bathyergidae.
UUCAUUGUUGUCAGUGAUAUGUCCCUGUUGGAACUGAAUCUAACUGGUCUAACUCAAAUAUUCGUCGCUACCACUGAGGCAACAAUGAA